This is a long non-coding RNA of Oncorhynchus kisutch (coho salmon), 915 nucleotides long. RefSeq lists it as uncharacterized. The transcript has 3 exons. The record is from RefSeq and is a predicted model, not a curated record. Lineage: Eukaryota; Metazoa; Chordata; Actinopteri; Salmoniformes; Salmonidae.
AUCCAGGGUGGUGAUGCUAGUCGGGCAUGCGGGUGCAGGCAGCGACCGGAGAUGCAUGCUGGCCACUUCUGAGGGAAGCCCAUGAUUGCCAAAAUCAACCUACGCUUCUUCUCAUGGGGAAUUGUCAAGGGGUUGGACAGCUGGGCAAGUGAAAUAAACUUUUGUUUAUCAAUCUCAUUGUUUAUCAAUCUCUGUCAUAUAUGAAAUUAUUAUGAUUUCAAGGAAUGUCAUAUCAGAGAGCACGCAAUGGGGUCACCAUCUGUUAAAGUGAAUAUAUAAAACAUCUCAGAAAAUAACUAUUUGCAUUUGCACACAAAAUAACCUGAAGCUAGUUUUAGAUUCCCCAACACUGAUAUUUUUUCUCUUCCUAGGGUUACCUCGGUGGAAGCCAACAAUCUUCUCCAGUUGGAGCAGUUGGAUGGUUGACCACUGAAAGCCCUGAUGCCCUAAACUUCAGUGAAGCCCAAUAGACAAAGACCAUUGACUGUCCAAGCCCCACCAGAGACAGUGCGUACGGAUCAGUCUGAUUCUCUGUGCUCUGUGUCGGAGGGGGACCAGCUUGAGGAUCUAGGUGUUCUGCCCAACACCCAGAUGGGGAUCCGCCUGUCAUCCGUUACCAACCACCCUCCAACUUUUCAUCAGCUACAGCUAAGAUUAUUGUCAUGUUGUAGUUAUCUGAUUAAAAGUUUUCUUGCACUAUCAUGCUGAGCACUGCAAACACUCAAAACAAAGAGAGCAGCAGUGCCUGGACCUUGCAGUCUCCCUCUUCAAGUCUCCAUUCUGAGACUGGCAGCCUGUUGAGAACAAGUGACAGGCGGAACCUCCGAACACCUCCUCUAUAUUCUACACAACAGAAUUCAGUAUUUUAGUCUAUGAUUGCCAGUGCAAAAAAACAUAUGAAAAUGUAUUAAUGAC